GUGCUCGCUUCAGCAGCACAUACACUAAAAUUGGAACAAUACAGAGAAAAUUAGCAUGGCCCCUGUGCAAGGUAAAUUUGUGAAGUGUUCCAUAUUUAA
This 99-nucleotide small nuclear RNA is filed under the name Otolemur garnettii (small-eared galago). The record is from RNAcentral. Lineage: Eukaryota; Metazoa; Chordata; Mammalia; Primates; Galagidae.